This 24-nucleotide non-coding RNA is filed under the name Arabidopsis thaliana (thale cress). Lineage: Eukaryota; Viridiplantae; Streptophyta; Magnoliopsida; Brassicales; Brassicaceae. The record is from RNAcentral.
UGAUACGCUAAAUCUGCUCCGCCU